RNAcentral lists this ribosomal RNA (613 nucleotides) under Saccharomyces cerevisiae (brewer's yeast). RNAcentral describes it as "eukaryotic LSU rRNA". It matches the Rfam family "Eukaryotic large subunit ribosomal RNA", at positions 65 to 691 of the family's 3401-position model. Lineage: Eukaryota; Fungi; Ascomycota; Saccharomycetes; Saccharomycetales; Saccharomycetaceae. The record is from RNAcentral.
ACGUCGGGCAUUGCGUUAGCUCACGGCGAGUGAAGCGGCAAAAGCUCAAAUUUGAAAUCUGGUACCUUCGGUGCCCGAGUUGUAAUUUGGAGAGGGCAACUUUGGGGCCGUUCCUUGUCUAUGUUCCUUGGAACAGGACGUCAUAGAGGGUGAGAAUCCCGUGUGGCGAGGAGUGCGGUUCUUUGUAAAGUGCCUUCGAAGAGUCGAGUUGUUUGGGAAUGCAGCUCUAAGUGGGUGGUAAAUUCCAUCUAAAGCUAAAUAUUGGCGAGAGACCGAUAGCGAACAAGUACAGUGAUGGAAAGAUGAAAAGAACUUUGAAAAGAGAGUGAAAAAGUACGUGAAAUUGUUGAAAGGGAAGGGCAUUUGAUCAGACAUGGUGUUUUGUGCCCUCUGCUCCUUGUGGGUAGGGGAAUCUCGCAUUUCACUGGGCCAGCAUCAGUUUUGGUGGCAGGAUAAAUCCAUAGGAAUGUAGCUUGCCUCGGUAAGUAUUAUAGCCUGUGGGAAUACUGCCAGCUGGGACUGAGGACUGCGACGUAAGUCAAGGAUGCUGGCAUAAUGGUUAUAUGCCGCCCGUCUGAAAAAAAGGAACAAAUAUUUUUUUUUUUUCUCUAGG